GAUGAACGCUGGCGGCGUGCCUAAUACAUGCAAGUCGAGCGAACGGACGAUAAGCUUGCUUCUCUGAUGUUAGCGGCGGACGGGUGAGUAACACGUGGAUAACCUACCUAUAAGACUGGGAUAACUUCGGGAAACCGGAGCUAAUACCGGAUGAUAUUUUGAACCGCAUGGUUCAAAAGUGAAAGACGGUCUUGCUGUCACUUAUAGAUGGAUCCGCGCUGCAUUAGCUAGUUGGUAAGGUAACGGCUUACCAAGGCAACGAUGCAUAGCCGACCUGAGAGGGUGAUCGGCCACACUGGAACUGAGACACGGUCCAGACUCCUACGGGAGGCAGCAGUAGGGAAUCUUCCGCAAUGGGCGAAAGCCUGACGGAGCAACGCCGCGUGAGUGAUGAAGGUCUUCGGAUCGUAAAACUCUGUUAUUAGGGAAGAACAUAUGUGUAAGUAACUGCGCACAUCUUGACGGUACCUAAUCAGAAAGCCCCGGCUAACUACGUG
RNAcentral lists this ribosomal RNA (497 nucleotides) under uncultured bacterium. RNAcentral's name for it is "partial 16S ribosomal RNA". It matches the Rfam family "Bacterial small subunit ribosomal RNA", at positions 28 to 507 of the family's 1533-position model. The record is from RNAcentral.